CCCAGGUAAGCUCAGUCGGUAGAGCGCUCCUCUGGAAAUGUAGAGGUCCCUGGUUCGAUACCACGACCAGGCA
Ixodes scapularis (black-legged tick) is the source of this 73-nucleotide non-coding RNA. The record is from Rfam. NCBI's taxonomy places the organism in Eukaryota, Metazoa, Arthropoda, Arachnida, Ixodida, Ixodidae.